RNAcentral lists this ribosomal RNA (26 nucleotides) under Stewartia pseudocamellia. RNAcentral describes it as "partial 26S ribosomal RNA". The record is from RNAcentral. Lineage: Eukaryota; Viridiplantae; Streptophyta; Magnoliopsida; Ericales; Theaceae.
CCCCAGGUCAGGCGGGACUACCCGCU